AUUGAACGCUGGCGGCAGGCCUAACACAUGCAAGUCGAGCGAGCGGAGGACGGGUGAGUAAUGUAUUGGGACCGCCCGUUAGCUGGGGAUAACUACUGGAAACGGUAGCUAAUACCGCAUACUAUCGGAUAACCCAUAUGGGAUUAGCUAGUAGGUGAGGUCAUGGACCACCUAGGCGACGAUCCCUAGAUGGUCUGAGAGGUUGAUCCGCCACACUGGGACUGAGACACGGCCCAGACUCCUACGGAGGCAGCAGUGGGGAAGAUUGCACAAUGGGCGCAAGCCUGAUGCAGCCAUGCCGCGUGUAUGAAGAAGGCCCUAGGGUUGUAAAGUACUUUCAGUCGGGAGGCGUUACCGACAGAAGAAGCACCGGCUAACUCCGUGCCAGCAGCCGCGGUAAUUC
This 403-nucleotide ribosomal RNA is filed under the name uncultured bacterium. RNAcentral's name for it is "partial 16S ribosomal RNA". It matches the Rfam family "Bacterial small subunit ribosomal RNA", at positions 30 to 526 of the family's 1533-position model. The record is from RNAcentral.